This 253-nucleotide ribosomal RNA is filed under the name uncultured bacterium. RNAcentral describes it as "partial 16S ribosomal RNA". It matches the Rfam family "Bacterial small subunit ribosomal RNA", at positions 524 to 776 of the family's 1533-position model. The record is from RNAcentral.
UACGUAGGGGGCAAGCGUUGUCCGGAAUCAUUGGGCGUAAAGCGCGUGUAGGCGGCCCGGUAAGUCCGCUGUGAAAGUCGGGGGCUCAACCCUCGGAUGCCGGUGGAUACUGUCGGGCUAGAGUGCGGGAGAGGCGAGUGGAAUUCCUGGUGUAGCGGUGAAAUGCGCAGAUAUCAGGAGGAACACCAAUGGCGAAGGCAGCUCGCUGGGACGUGACUGACGCUGAGACGCGAAAGCGUGGGGAGCAAACAGG